GAUGAACGCUGGCGGCGUGCUUAACACAUGCAAGUCGAACGGUGAAGGCGGAGCUUGCUCUGCUGGAUCAGUGGCGAACGGGUGAGUAACACGUGAGCAAUCUGCCCCUGACUCUGGGAUAAGCGCUGGAAACGGCGUCUAAUACUGGAUACGAGCUGCGAAGGCAUCUUCAGCAGCUGGAAAGAAUUUCGGUCAGGGAUGAGCUCGCGGCCUAUCAGCUUGUUGGUGAGGUAAUGGCUCACCAAGGCGUCGACGGGUAGCCGGCCUGAGAGGGUGACCGGCCACACUGGGACUGAGACACGGCCCAGACUCCUACGGGAGGCAGCAGUGGGGAAUAUUGCACAAUGGGCGAAAGCCUGAUGCAGCAACGCCGCGUGAGGGACGACGGCCUUCGGGUUGUAAACCUCUUUUAGCAGGGAAGAAGCGAAAGUGACGGUACCUGUAGAAAAAGCGCCGGCUAACUACGUG
RNAcentral lists this ribosomal RNA (468 nucleotides) under uncultured bacterium. RNAcentral's name for it is "partial 16S ribosomal RNA". It matches the Rfam family "Bacterial small subunit ribosomal RNA", at positions 28 to 507 of the family's 1533-position model. The record is from RNAcentral.